UACAGAGGAGCCAAGCGUUGUCCGGAUUGACUGGGCGUAAAGCGUACGCAGGCGGACGCGCGCGUGGGGUGUGAAAUCUGGCCGCUUAACGGCCAGGCGCCAUCCCAUACGGCGCGUCUGGAGUGAUGCAGAGGUCGGUGGAAUUGCCGGUGUAGUGGUGAAAUGCGUAGAGAUCGGCAGGAACACCCAGGGGGAAACCAGCCGACUGGGCAUCUACUGACGCUGAGGUGCGAGAGCGUGGGGAGCGAACCGG
This 253-nucleotide ribosomal RNA is filed under the name uncultured bacterium. Its description in RNAcentral is "partial 16S ribosomal RNA". It matches the Rfam family "Bacterial small subunit ribosomal RNA", at positions 524 to 776 of the family's 1533-position model. The record is from RNAcentral.